RNAcentral lists this unclassified non-coding RNA (292 nucleotides) under uncultured cyanobacterium. Its description in RNAcentral is "contains 16S-23S intergenic spacer region". The record is from RNAcentral. Lineage: Bacteria; Bacillati; Cyanobacteriota.
GGACUACCAGGGUUUCUAAUCCCAUUUGCUACCCUGGCUUUCGUUCCUCAGCGUCAAUUACGGCCCAGUAAAGCGCUUACGCCACCGAUGUUCCUCCUGAUAUCUAAGCAUUUCACCGCUACACCAGGAAUUCCCUUUACCUCUACCGCAUUCUAGCUCGCAAGUAUCCAGUGCCGUACAGAAGUUGAGCCUCUGCCUUUAACACCAGACUUUACGUGCCGCCUACGAACUCUUUACGCCCAAUGAUUCCGGACAACGCUUGCACCCCCCGUAUUACCGCGGCUGCUGGCAC